GAAAGCUCGGGUUUCCUUGUGUGAAAGUAAGGAAGAAGGGGAGCCCUCACCUCGAUGUGAUUUCAGAACAAAACGAGGGCAGGGACCUGGGUGCAGGAGUUUAAAACCCACCUUCAACCCAAGAUUCAAUUACUACAGAAAAGUGCUCCUGCUCAAACUUCAUGAGACUGCACCCUGGGACCGACCACGCUGCCAGCCAUCAGCUACAGGCACUGCCUGGUUGCAAAGGGGAGCGACGCUCAUCCCCCUCCUCAUCCUCAGGAGGAGCUGUGCAGUCCCAGAGCUCAGGAAAUCUCGUUCUUCCUUUCCUAGCCACUCCUGACCCACUGCAUGGCCCUUCGUGGGCAAUACAGCCACUCCAUCACUCACUUUUUUGCUUCAAAAAUCAGGGAAACACCAGCUAACUUGUUCAUGGGGUAGGGUUGUAAGGCUGCAUCUUCUACUGGAGCACUGACUAACCCUCCAUAUAUUAUUCGAUACAUUCACAAACAGGAUUUUAGGACACAUUUCUAUAAUCAAGAAGGUGCACCCCGUUCUGCAGUCCUCAAUCCUGCCUGUUAAAGCUACGAAAACUGUGAAUCCGUACCUCCCAGGAGAAGAGCACCUCCAAAGAGCAGCACGUUGGAAGAGCUGCCCGAUGAAACAGCCCCUGUCAUAAGCACCAAAUAUAUCACAGAUGCAAACAGACCCCAAGCCCAGACCUCGGGAGCCAGUUGCCGAGAUGCCUUUGAGGAUCUGGGCCUAAGGGCUCAUUCCAACCAGCUGAAGUCAAUGGGACCGUCCCUAUAUAUAAGUUGUGGCUGGAUGGGAGCCAAGGGCUCAGCAUCUUGCAGAACUGGCUCUCGUGAUGCCGCAUUCCUUGAGAGCUGGGAAAGAGAGCAGGGCGACACACAGCAGAAAGUGCCCGUCCGUAUUACCGGGUAUUAGCCACCGCCUCCGAAGGCCUGAUCUGUGUAAAAAGGUUUUUGGCCCAGCACCGGCGGCUUCCCAGCAGAGGCAGAAAUUUCCCACGGCCGCCACGCCGCGAGCACACGGAGGAGCUGAAACAACGGGGCGGGCUGAAGCAAUGCAUCGAAUACCGGAGGGAAAAGAGCAGAAGGGAGCUGGAAAGCACUUUGUUCAAACUUUUAAUUAUUUUAGCUCACUCGCAGUCUGCAUGGCACAAAGCUGUGUUUCCAUGUGAUCGCACCGAGCUUCCAGAGCACCACUUUCUUGCUGCAGCUCCGGCGGCACGGAGCGGUUUCCCCACGACGCUCGCAGAUGUGAGCUCUGCUCCCCACACGUUGUGGCUGGAAGCUGAAACCAAAAAACGCCCAGGCGCUCACGUCGUGGCAGCUUUCGGCUUCCACACUGACACCAGGCUUGCCUAAAACUGCUUGCAUGGCAGAAAGCACUUUUCCCUGGAUCCACAGAGCUGCUGAUGAGAAAAACUCCUAAAUCUUGCUUACACGUUUCCAAUGA
RNAcentral lists this long non-coding RNA (1461 nucleotides) under Anas platyrhynchos platyrhynchos (common mallard). RNAcentral describes it as "lncRNA (ENSAPLG00000028158.1)". The record is from RNAcentral. Lineage: Eukaryota; Metazoa; Chordata; Aves; Anseriformes; Anatidae.